This is a non-coding RNA of Ciborinia camelliae, 101 nucleotides long. The record is from the annotation of a GenBank genome assembly. NCBI's taxonomy places the organism in Eukaryota, Fungi, Ascomycota, Leotiomycetes, Helotiales, Sclerotiniaceae.
GCUCCUUUAACUCAGUGGUAGAGUGGGCGAUUGCAGUAACACUCUGAUAGGAGUCGUGAACAAUUAUCGCCAAGUCGCUUGUUCGAACCAGGCAGGGAGCU